Ailuropoda melanoleuca (giant panda) is the source of this 258-nucleotide long non-coding RNA. RefSeq lists it as uncharacterized. The transcript is spliced from 2 exons. NCBI's taxonomy places the organism in Eukaryota, Metazoa, Chordata, Mammalia, Carnivora, Ursidae. The record is from RefSeq and is a predicted model, not a curated record.
AAACACCUUGAUCUUCUUGGGGUCAAUGAACUUGAGUGGCGCACCAGUCCAGAACAGUCCCAGGGGUGCCAAUGACAAUGUGCUCACUGAUCUUCUGACCUCUUUCCACUGUGGAGACAAGAUGUUUUCUGUACUGGGAAUCCUGCACAGGCUCUUUUGAUCAAUUAUGUAAAAGCAGAUAAAGUGUUUUCAAGACCGUAAACCCUGUAGUCUAACAAAAGGGCUUACCUAAUAAGAAAUGUUCCUGACAUCCAGAAA